This 342-nucleotide ribosomal RNA is filed under the name Triticum aestivum (bread wheat). Its description in RNAcentral is "partial small subunit ribosomal RNA". The record is from RNAcentral. Lineage: Eukaryota; Viridiplantae; Streptophyta; Magnoliopsida; Poales; Poaceae.
AUGGUAAUCUCCGGCUCUGCGACAACAACUACCUUAGGUUAUGCAUUUAUCUCCUAUUCAAGCAGCAGGGAAAAUGUACACACUUCAACAAAUAUCAGAUAUGCCCACCUCAAAUUUUCAGUCCAGGGAGCCAAAACACAAGUCCACUUGGGCAAUACUAUGCCUUCCCCUUGCCAAUCUGCAACUAUGGACACCGACAAAAACAUAAAUAGGUACUCUUCAGCGAAAAGAAGCAUCCAAUUUACAGAAGAUGGAGCCACCAACAAAGAGGGUCAACAACAGGAACAUCUUCAGGAUACACAAGUGCAUCUCCAGGUUGUCAAAAAGCAUAAGCAAGAAUAA